UCGUUUCAUGCCUCAGACAUGGAAAAAUUGAAUCAGCAUGCGGGUUGAGAUUUUAGGGCUGGAAUGCCUCAACACCUAUUAAAGUCAUCUAUCUCAGCUAUCAAGUAACAGGAAGCCUGGAUACUUUAUUUGCCUUUAGGUUUUUGUUUUGCGGUAGGGCUUGUGUGGACUAGGAUUUUACCAUGGUCAAUUUUUUUUUGUUUCUUCUAGAUACAGGCACACAAUGUCCUUCUAAUGACAGAAUCAUACCAAACUUACUUUGGUGAAAAGUUGAAAAUAUCCGGAUUGUGAGUUUUCCUGAGUGUUUGGAAGAUAGCAAGUAUGUUGAUUCUGUCAUAGAGGUAGACGCUGUGCCAUUCACAUAUGCAUAGCUUUAUUACUUAUCAUUGCUUUUUUAAGAUACAGACACACAAUGUCCUUCUAAUGACGGAAUCAUACCAAAUUUAUUUGGUGAAAAGUUGACAACAUCCAGAUUGGGAAUUUCCCUGGAUUAUUUGGAAGAUAGCAAGUAUUGGAAUGGUGAUUCUGUCAUAGUGGUAGACGCUGUGUCAUUAGAACAUGCAUAGCUUUAUUACUUAUUACGUUUUCAUAUGAAGGCACACAAUGUCCUUCUUAUGACAGAAUCAUACCAAGUUUACUUGGUGAAAAGUUGAACACAUCUAGGUUGUGAGUUUUCCUGAGUGUUUGGAAGAUAGCAAGUAUUGGAAUUGUGAUUCUGUCAUAGAGGUAGACGAUGUGUCAUUAGAAUAUGAAUUCGAAUAGCUUUAUUACUUAUUACUUUUAUAUACAGGCACACAAUGUCCUUCUUAUGACAGAAUUAUACCAGGUUAACUUGGUGAAAAGUUGAACACAUCCAGAUUGUGAGUUUUCCUGAGUGUUUGGAAGAUAGCAAGUAUUGGAAUUGUGAUUCUGUCAUAGAGGUAGACGAUGUGUCAUUAGAAUAUGAAUUCGAAUAGCUUUAUUACUUAUUACUUUUAUAUACAGGCACACAAUGUCCUUCUUAUGACAGAAUUAUACCAGGUUAACUUGGUGAAAAGUUGAACACAUCCAGAUUGUGAGUUUUCCUGAGUGUUUGGAAGAUAGCAAGUAUUGGAAUGGUGAUUUUGUCAUAGAGGUAGACGCUGUGCCAUUAGAAUAUGCAUAGCUUUUUUACUUAUUACUUUUAUAUACAGGCACACAAUGUCCUUCAUAUGACAGAAUCAUACCAAGUUUAAUUGGUGAAAAGUUGAACACAUCCAGGUUGGGAAUUUUUCCGAUAACGAGUAUUGGAAUGGUGAUUCUGUCAUAGAGGUAGACGCUGUGCCAUAAGAAUAUCCAUAGGUAACGAUAAGUAAAAGGUAGACCCGAAGUCUGUGCAGUUGAAAAUCUUUCGACUGUACAUCAAUGAUGUCAGCAGAUUUGUAAUACCAUGUCAUUCAAAUAUGGAUGGAGAUGCUGAAGACCUUGAGAAAUGGAAAGAACUGGAAAUAUGGGAACAUAGUAAACCAACGUGUCAUUCAUAACAACAUUAGUUCUGUUAAAUGACAGCGAAGUGACUGGGGAAAAUAAUGGUUAUGGCGAAAGUUGUGGAAAGGAAAACAGCUAAUGUAGUUCUUUGUUCAUUGAACCGAAUGUCAUUUCUUUCAGUCCCCAAAGGUAAAUACAUCAACAUUAACAAUCAUGACAUAAAUGUUAAUAUCGAACAAUGUAACAAUGAAACCGUUACUAACACUGUUAUAUCUGCUGUAUGUCAUUGAGACUGGAGAUAUUAAGGAAGUAAUUUUUUGUGCUUUUUUUUCUUUUAAUAAAGUAAAAACGCUACGGCUACAUGA
Molecule: long non-coding RNA, 1811 nt
Organism: Branchiostoma floridae (Florida lancelet)
Lineage: Eukaryota; Metazoa; Chordata; Leptocardii; Amphioxiformes; Branchiostomatidae
Exons: 3
Source: RefSeq, a predicted model, not a curated record